AAAUUGAAGAGUUUGAUCAUGGCUCAGAUUGAACGCUGGCGGCAGGCCUAACACAUGCAAGUCGAACGGUAACAGGAAGCAGCUUGCUGCUUCGCUGACGAGUGGCGGACGGGUGAGUAAUGUCUGGGAAACUGCCUGAUGGAGGGGGAUAACUACUGGAAACGGUGGCUAAUACCGCAUAACGUCGCAAGACCAAAGAGGGGGACCUUCGGGCCUCUUGCCAUCAGAUGUGCCCAGAUGGGAUUAGCUUGUUGGUGAGGUAACGGCUCACCAAGGCGACGAUCCCUAGCUGGUCUGAGAGGAUGACCAGCCACACUGGAACUGAGACACGGUCCAGACUCCUACGGGAGGCAGCAGUGGGGAAUAUUGCACAAUGGGCGCAAGCCUGAUGCAGCCAUGCCGCGUGUAUGAAGAAGGCCUUCGGGUUGUAAAGUACUUUCAGCGGGGAGGAAGGUGUUGUGGUUAAUAACCGCAGCAAUUGACGUUACCCGCAGAAGAAGCACCGGCUAACUCCGUGCCAGCAGCCGCGGUAAUACGGAGGGUGCAAGCGUUAAUCGGAAUUACUGGGCGUAAAGCGCACGCAGGCGGUCUGUCAAGUCGGAUGUGAAAUCCCCGGGCUCAACCUGGGAACUGCAUUCGAAACUGGCAGGCUUGAGUCUUGUAGAGGGGGGUAGAAUUCCAGGUGUAGCGGUGAAAUGCGUAGAGAUCUGGAGGAAUACCGGUGGCGAAGGCGGCCCCCUGGACAAAGACUGACGCUCAGGUGCGAAAGCGUGGGGAGCAAACAGGAUUAGAUACCCUGGUAGUCCACGCCGUAAACGAUGUCUACUUGGAGGUUGUGCCCUUGAGGCGUGGCUUCCGGAGCUAACGCGUUAAGUAGACCGCCUGGGGAGUACGGCCGCAAGGUUAAAACUCAAAUGAAUUGACGGGGGCCCGCACAAGCGGUGGAGCAUGUGGUUUAAUUCGAUGCAACGCGAAGAACCUUACCUGGUCUUGACAUCCACAGAACUUUCCAGAGAUGGAUUGGUGCCUUCGGGAACUGUGAGACAGGUGCUGCAUGGCUGUCGUCAGCUCGUGUUGUGAAAU
RNAcentral lists this ribosomal RNA (1083 nucleotides) under Salmonella enterica. RNAcentral describes it as "bacterial SSU rRNA". It matches the Rfam family "Bacterial small subunit ribosomal RNA", at positions 1 to 1073 of the family's 1533-position model. RNAcentral also lists the same sequence under 1 other name. Lineage: Bacteria; Pseudomonadati; Pseudomonadota; Gammaproteobacteria; Enterobacterales; Enterobacteriaceae. The record is from RNAcentral.